RNAcentral lists this unclassified non-coding RNA (1740 nucleotides) under Leishmania donovani. Its description in RNAcentral is "gene:LdHU3.34.5520(CDS-product:Ankyrin_repeats_(3 _copies)/Ankyrin_repeat/Ankyrin_repeats_(many_copies)_putat ive)". The record is from RNAcentral. Lineage: Eukaryota; Euglenozoa; Kinetoplastea; Trypanosomatida; Trypanosomatidae.
CGGCUGUACCCCUUUCUUCCCGUCUUUUGUCUCUUGGCACCUUUUCCAACCCAUGACCAACGAACAUAUCUUGGAGCCAAGUAGCCCAACGGUGUUUCCGCCGUGUGCCCCCCCCUCGCUUUCUUUUCUCUGCGUCACGUUUGUUUGCAUACCUGGACGCGCGGACACACCUUAUCCUUGACAUGCAUACUCGUUGUGGGGGUGCUUUCUGUGAGCCAACACAGUCGCUGCUUCUGUCAUGUCGUUUGAGGACGUUAUUCUACGCAACGAUGUCGCAGGCGUACGUGCCUUCUUCAAUGCAGUUGCCAAGAACGCCGUAAAUGCCGUGAACGGGAGCGGCUACGUUCCACUGUACUUUGCGUGUAUGAAGCCGUCUGUGUCGCCGGAGGUGAUCAAAGAGCUGGUGCAACUAGGCGCUGCGGUGGACGGCAGGGGCACCGACGGCGAAACGCCCUUGUACAUUAGCGUGUACAAUCACCGCCUGGACGUGGCGAAGUACCUCAUCGCCCGAAAGGCAGACGUGAAUGCCGUGAACGGACCUCAUAGAGAAACUGCCCUGCACGUGGCAGCAAGGUGCGGAUUUGCAGACAUUCUGUCCUUCUUGCUGAGCGCCGGUGCCGACCUGAAUAUGCGCAACGCGAGGCAAGAAACUCCUCUGUACGUGGCUGCGCAAGCUGGCCGCCACGACACCGUGUACCUCCUACUCGAGGCCGACGCAAACGCCGCACUUGCGAACGAAGACGACAAGACGCCGCUUCACAUCGCCUCUGAAAAGGAGUACAAGCACGUAGUCGUACUUUUCAAGGCCGCACGCGCCGACUUGAAGCAUGCAAAGUCGCUCGCUGACACAGAGUGGCGGCUGCGUCCAGAGCCGAUGAUGUCGUCAGACCAGAUGCUGGACAAGGCUGCGGCUGACCAGCAGUUCGCGGCAGCAGUGCGUCGACGCUCUUUGGCUGGUGCGCCAGCGCCGGAUACGAAGCCGAUGGAGGUGGUGGAAAUCAAGGUGCCGGAGCCCCAGGUACGUAGGCAAAACCCCCUGACGGGAGAGUCGUACGGCCCUUGCCGCAGUCUGGAGGAGGUGGGCUACGAUUCGCCUCCACCAAUUCCGAAGGAGCUGCAGAACCGGCCACCGGCGAGGCUGUCGCGCAUUGGGGGCACGUCCAUGGUGGUCGGCACCGGCACCGAGGAGGGUGGUCGUGAGCCGAUCCGCAUCGAUUCAAUCGGCGGAGACGGCGUCGAGUACUACGCGCCACCCAACAAAUAGAGGCCUUCUUGCCCCUCCCGGUAUCGGCUAGCUGCGGCGCUGUGGAAUUCCUAAAGGGUCACGGUGCCGGCACCGUUUACUUCCGUUCAACAUCCCCACGUUUCACACCGCGUGUACGGCCUCCUGUGAGUGCUCGUCCUCGCCCUCCCCUCUUUCCCUCUGAUGUGAGAGGGACUCUUCACCGCUCAUGUAUGUAUAACCAGCAUACUUGUAUUGCUCUAUUUUCCCUGUGCCGAAAACAACAAAAAGGAAUCGAAGCCGACAGACACCGAAGCACUCUCAACACACAGGUGUGUGCUAUGUAUGUGCGGAUUCGACUCCCUCGCUGGCCGGGGCGUAUGCGUGUUGGGACCUCAUAAAAAAAAGCUACAGAAAGAUAACCGGAAUUGGGCAGGAGAACGGCAGAUGGCUAACCGUGGAACUGCCAUUUUUUUUUCCUUUCCUGCGUGAAAGUACGCCAGACCAGGCUUGUCGUG